This 876-nucleotide ribosomal RNA is filed under the name uncultured crenarchaeote. RNAcentral's name for it is "bacterial SSU rRNA". It matches the Rfam family "Archaeal small subunit ribosomal RNA", at positions 21 to 903 of the family's 1478-position model. Lineage: Archaea; Thermoproteati; Thermoproteota. The record is from RNAcentral.
ACCUGACUGCUAUCGGAUUGAUACUAAGCCAUGCGAGUCUUUGCAGUAAUGCAAGGCAUACGGCUCAGUAACACGUAGUCAACUUACCCUAUGGACGAGGAUAAUCUCGGGAAACUGAGCAUAAUACUCGAUAGAUCAUAAUGCCUGGAAUGGUUUAUGGUUGAAAUGAUUCGUCGCCAUAGGAUGGGACUGCGGCCUAUCAGCUUGUUGGUGAGGUAAUGGCCCACCAAGGCGAUAACAGGUACGGGCUCUGAGAGGAGAAGCCCGGAGAUGGGUACUGAGACAAGGACCCAGGCCCUAUGGGGCGCAGCAGGCGAGAAAACUUUGCAAUGUGCGAAAGCACGACAAGGUUAGUCCGAGUGAUUUCUGCUAAAGAGAUCUUUUGCUAGUUAUAAAACCACUAGUGAAUAAGGGGUGGGCAAGUUCUGGUGUCAGCCGCCGCGGUAAAACCAGCACCUCAAGUGGUCAGGAGGAUUAUUGGGCCUAAAGCAUCCGUAGCCGGCUCUGUAAGUUUUCGGUUAAAUCCAUGUGCUCAACGCAUGGGCUGCCGAAAAUACUGCAUAGCUAGGGAGUGGGAGAGGUAGACGGUACUCGGUAGGAAGGGGUAAAAUCCUUUGAUCUAUCGAUGACCACCUGUGGCGAAGGCGGUCUACCAGAACACGUUCGACGGUGAGGGAUGAAAGCUGGGGGAGCAAACCGGAUUAGAUACCCGGGUAGUCCCAGCUGUAAACGAUGCAGACUCGAUGAUGCAUUGGCAUAUAGCCAGUGCAGUGUCGCAGGGAAGCCGUUAAGUCUGCCGCCUGGGAAGUACGUACGCAAGUAUGAAACUUAAAGGAAUUGGCGGGGGAGCACCACAAGGGGUGAAGCCUGCGGUUC